ACCUCCUGAGGUCCCUUCCAACCCUGAUCUUCUUCCCAACAACACACCUUCCCUGGCUGCCCUCAGCGGUGGGUGAUUGCCAGCCCUGGGCUAAGCAUGUGCUAAAUAACCAAGCAGGCCACGCUCAUGUGGGGGGCCAGUGGGCAGAAGCGAGUGACCUGCAAGAUGAGCAGGACACCAGUCGGGAACAGCCCAGCCACAGCUGGGACAACAGCGGAUGCAGGGGAGAAAGACUGAGGGGCGCUGGCAGAGCUAGGGGGAGCCCUGGGCUGAGGUAGCAGGAGGACAGGACUGAGGUGCGUUGCCAUAGCAAUGGAGAAUCCCUGUCCACUGAGGGGCACCAGCAGAGCUGGGGGGGAGUGGCUGAAGAGUGGAAUAGCAGGGGGCUGCAGGUCGGGAUUGAGGGGCACCAGCAGGGUGUGGGCGGUGCUCAGGAGUGGAAUAGCAGGGGGCUGCAGGUCGGGAUUGAGGGGCACCAGCAGGGUGUGGGCGGUGCUCAGGAGUGGAAUAGCAGGGGGCUGCAGGUUGGGAUUGAGGGGCACCAGCAGGGUGUGGGCGGUGCUCAGGAGUGGAAUAGCAGGGGGCUGCAGGUCAGGAUUUUGGGGCACCAGCAGAGCUGGGGGAGGGGGGGCAGCUCAGGAGGGGAAUAGCAAGGGGCUGCAGGUCAGGAUUUUGGGGCACCAGCAGAGCUGGGGGAGGGGGGGCAGCUCAGGAGGGGAAUAGCAGGUGGCUGCAGGUCGGGAUUGAGGGGCACCAGCAGGGCUGGGGGGGCGGUUUAGGGGAAUAGGAGGUAGCUGCGGGUCAGGAUUGAGGGGCAUCAGCGGAGC
Long non-coding RNA from Gopherus flavomarginatus (Mexican gopher tortoise), 827 nucleotides. RefSeq lists it as uncharacterized. The transcript is spliced from 3 exons. The record is from RefSeq and is a predicted model, not a curated record. NCBI's taxonomy places the organism in Eukaryota, Metazoa, Chordata, Testudines, Testudinidae.